This 566-nucleotide ribosomal RNA is filed under the name Monascus purpureus. RNAcentral's name for it is "LSU rRNA". It matches the Rfam family "Eukaryotic large subunit ribosomal RNA", at positions 74 to 655 of the family's 3401-position model. The record is from RNAcentral. RNAcentral also lists the same sequence under 1 other name. Lineage: Eukaryota; Fungi; Ascomycota; Eurotiomycetes; Eurotiales; Aspergillaceae.
AUUGCCUCAGUAACGGCGAGUGAAGCGGCAAGAGCUCAAAUUUGAAAGCUGGCCCCUCCGGGGUCCGCGUUGUAAUUUGCAGAGGAUGCUUCGGGCUCAGCCCCCGUCUAAGUGCCCUGGAACGGGCCGUCGGAGAGGGUGAGAAUCCCGUCUGGGACGGGGUGUCUGGGUCCGUGUGAAGCUCCUUCGACGAGUCGAGUUGUUUGGGAAUGCAGCUCUAAAUGGGUGGUAAAUUUCAUCUAAAGCUAAAUACUGGCCGGAGACCGAUAGCGCACAAGUAGAGUGAUCGAAAGAUGAAAAGCACUUUGAAAAGAGAGUUAAACAGCACGUGAAAUUGUUGAAAGGGAAGCGCUUGCGAUCAGACUCGCCUGCGGGGUUCAGCCGGCAUUCGUGCCGGUGUACUUCCCCGUGGGCGGGCCAGCGUCGGUUCGGGUGGCCGGUCAAAGGCCCCGGGAAUGUGUCGCCCUCCGGGGCGUCUUAUAGCCCGGGGUGCCAUGCGGCCUACCUGGACCGAGGAACGCGCUUCGGCUCGGACGCUGGCGUAAUGGUCGUAAGCGGCCCGUCUU